AACAUACUCCAUCCGUCCAACAAAAGAUGUUUCAAGUUUGUCAAAAUUUGAAUGUACCUAGAUACGUUCAAAUUUAGUCAAAGUUGAGACAUCUUUUGUUGGACGUAGGGAGUAUUAU
Molecule: non-coding RNA, 118 nt
Organism: Brachypodium distachyon (stiff brome)
Lineage: Eukaryota; Viridiplantae; Streptophyta; Magnoliopsida; Poales; Poaceae
Source: Rfam